This is a long non-coding RNA of Panicum hallii, 494 nucleotides long. RefSeq lists it as uncharacterized. The record is from RefSeq and is a predicted model, not a curated record. NCBI's taxonomy places the organism in Eukaryota, Viridiplantae, Streptophyta, Magnoliopsida, Poales, Poaceae. The transcript is spliced from 2 exons.
GUUUCAUCCAAAGAAUUCAAGUGACUUAUCUGUGGAUAAUAUGCAACUCAAGAUAUCGCAAAGUAAGCUUCCAUGUACAACAGCAUUGGUUGAAGUGAAGAAUUCAAAGUUUUAAGUGGCACCGACCGCGAGCAGGCCCCGCCCGUGCGGUGGCUGGCCAGCUUUCCACGUCAAGUGAUGGAAUCCCUUGUCAGGUUCCAAGUCCACGUGCGGUGCACCGGCGACGACCCGCCCCAGCUUCAGGUGUGCAACUUCCGCAGCCGACAGUCAGUCCGGCACAAGAGUUAAGCAACAGCCCUCUGCUAGCUGCCUUCGUUGCAGUUGCAGGCUCACUUCAUUUUCAGUUGCAGUCCUAUUUUCAGUUUCCAACUUCCAGCGGCUGGUAUGAUCGAGCUGGCCGUGACGGUUGCUAAGGAGUAUGAUUGUAAUGUCUGUCAAUAGCUCACCAAUCUAAUCAAGUCUAAUCAGUCUGGUCAGACGCGGAGUACGGUCAA